UUUUUUAAUAUAAUGUUAGAUUAAAUUCAAAAGAAAAAUAAACAUUUUUACAACUUAUGCAAACGAUUAGUUUGAAGAGAUCAUAGCCGAAAUUUUUUAUUGAAAAACAUAAGCAAAAAUCAAAGACUUAUACUCUCUUUUGAAGCCAUUGUUGGAAGCCCUCCUAGCUCGUAUCGUUUAUCUCCCAUCUGUCGGAUUGUUGAUAACUGGUUUCGGUCUUGUUUGUCUAUCCACCGGAUUAGUUGGUCUGCAGAGUUUGAAUCUUCGUCAUGUCUUCUACCAUUCCGCUCCUUCCAAACCACCGUGGCUUGGAACACAGCGAAUUAGAAAGCCCUCCACAUGAUCGAGUUUCUGGUUGGAAACAUGGUUAAGAGUUUGAUGCCAAUCAAAAGAGAACUUAUUCUUAAAGACGCCUUUAGCUAGAUGCUCUAACCUUUAGUAAGUAUCGUACGCACAUCUUUGGAGAAACUGUGUGUUGAUUAAAAAUUCAUCAAGAAAGAUUUAACAACAAUAUAUAUGUGGUUUACAAUUAUAUUUUCUCCAACGAAAUCCAGGUAAAAAAAAACAAAAAUUACAUGUAAAGGUCUAAAGAGUUAAAACUCGGUUGAUCGAGACGGAUCCACAAGCUUGAGAGUUGAGACAGUUCUGGAGAAGAAAGGAUUCGUGGUUCGUGGCAAAAAUUAUCACUUUAUACGUCCACAAAAUAAAGUGAAAAUCAAAGAGAAUCCGAGAGACAAUGCAAAUCAGACAACAUUGAUAAGGGUUAUUAAAACUCCAGAGAAAACGAAAAUGACUACUACUCGACAAUAUAAAUAUGGGAAGAUAUAGUAUAUAGUAUUUUUUUUGUCAACAACAUUAUGAACAUCUAUAUGAAUGUCCACAAUUAGCUUUUAACUACUGUAAAAGCUUUUCGUAGCAGAAAUGGUUAUUUUUUUUUCGAAUUCUCUCCGUCAUAAAAAAAAUAUCCAUAUUGAAUAAAAAAAAUAAUGUAACUAUCAAAAUUCAACUAAACUCUUUAGCCUUGUAGUGAAACCAUUUUUCAACAUGUUUUGUAAAAGAUAAAUAAUCAUUCUGUUGGAAACAGAUCUUAGAAACCAGAAUCGAGGAAGAACGAAAGUUGCAGAGCCGUAGAAAAUCUACUGCACUUGAGCGAAAAACCGCCUAAUCCCGGUGUGCAAGAUAACCAAGACGGCUCACUCCAGGGUUCACUCUGCUCUCAAUUGAAUUGUGCACUCAACUCAAAGAGAUGAAACUCUCAAACCCAUAAAUUGAAAUAAAGAGGAAGAAGAAGAUAGAAGAAGAGAGAUGUGAGUUUUUCAUCGUUCUGAUCGAAGACCAAAGUCCUUCUUAUAUAGGCACAAAUCUCAACUAUUCACGAGAGAUUUCAGCCCCCAAAUCUUACUCUCACAAUCCCACUUCUUCCUCAACGUUGCAAAGUCGGUGAGAAAAAGUUGCAGUCACGAUUUUGACUUUUUCCUUUUUAUGAAGAAAGAGAUUUUAUCAAAGCUUAAUU
This 1513-nucleotide long non-coding RNA is filed under the name Arabidopsis lyrata. Its description in RNAcentral is "long non-coding RNA (ALYR_LNC003278)". Lineage: Eukaryota; Viridiplantae; Streptophyta; Magnoliopsida; Brassicales; Brassicaceae. The record is from RNAcentral.